CAUGCAAGUCGAACGGCAGCGCGGGGAGCUUGCUCCUUGGCGGCGAGUGGCGGACGGGUGAGUAAUGCAUAGGAAUCUGCCCAGUAGCGGGGGACAACCUGGUGAAAACCAGGCUAAUACCGCAUACGCCCUACGGGGGAAAGCAGGGGAUCUUCGGACCUUGCACUAUUGGAUGAGCCUAUGUCUGAUUAGCUUGUUGGUGGGGUAAAAGCCUACCAAGGCGACGAUCAGUAGCUGGUCUGAGAGGACGAUCAGCCACACUGGGACUGAGACACGGCCCAGACUCCUACGGGAGGCAGCAGUGGGGAAUAUUGCACAAUGGGCGCAAGCCUGAUGCAGCAAUGCCGCGUGUGUGAAGAAGGCCUGCGGGUUGUAAAGCACUUUCAGAAAGGAAGAAAAGCUGAGUAUUAAUACUACUCGGUCUUGACAUUAUAUUCAGAAGAAGCACCGGCUAACUCCGUGCCAGCAGCCGCGGUAAUACGGAGGGUGCGAGCGUUAAUCGGAAUUACUGGGCGUAAAGCGCGCGUAGGCGGUCAGAUAAGUCGGAUGUGAAAUCCCCGGGCUCAACUCGGGAAUGGCAUUCGAUACUGUCUGACUAGA
RNAcentral lists this ribosomal RNA (600 nucleotides) under uncultured Gammaproteobacteria bacterium. Its description in RNAcentral is "bacterial SSU rRNA". It matches the Rfam family "Bacterial small subunit ribosomal RNA", at positions 54 to 645 of the family's 1533-position model. The record is from RNAcentral. Lineage: Bacteria; Pseudomonadati; Pseudomonadota; Gammaproteobacteria.